Anolis carolinensis (green anole) is the source of this 1211-nucleotide long non-coding RNA. RefSeq lists it as uncharacterized. The transcript is spliced from 2 exons. The record is from RefSeq and is a predicted model, not a curated record. Lineage: Eukaryota; Metazoa; Chordata; Lepidosauria; Squamata; Anolidae.
UGAGGUCCAUUCACUGAAACUAUUCCUCACAAGGAAGCCAAGUUUUGCUCACUAAUAUUUCCCAAGAAGUGAGUCUCAUCGGAAGAAGGAAGGCAAGGAAACCAUAUAAAAGUCCUCACUGUUCGCUCUGAUAGAUACACACCUGAGCUCUUGACUGAUACACAUUGACCUUUUGGCACUUCCAAGCAGACAGGAAUCGCCAUGUGCUCCCGCGGGGAUAGAGAUUGCCACAAGCCACCUCAACAGGAGGCUCCAUCAUGCCACCGGGGUAGAAGUUCUUGCCACGAGGAGAAGGAAAGAUCUUGCCACAACAGAGAAAGUUCUCCUGGCUGUGGUUCCAGGCAGCCAAGUUGUGGCGCAAAGCCUGUUCCAAGUUGCCAACAGCAAACUCCAGGGGUGGUUGUCCCACCUCCAUGCCAACAACAGCAACAGGUUAAGCAGCCGACCCAGUGGCCUUCACAGAACCAGAAGUAGAGAAGAACAGGAUGGAAGAAAAGCCUUUAGUAGAUAGAUGGAGAUCCAUGUGGUUUUUAGGUUGUCUAUGGCUCUAAGAAAUCUAUCUGGAUGCCCAUUUGCCUUCUUAUGAAUCAGAUGUCUUCUCUGUUUGGUACUGAAAUGUUACAUUGGCGUUCUUUAUGUCCCUUGACGUUUGAUUGGGGAAAAAAAUCACCUGUUUGUUACUUGACUUCCAUGUUGACAACAGGAAUCAUUAAACAAUAUGUUUCACUUGAGUGUUUUGGUGCAUUGUCUCCUUCCAUAUUCAAUUUGUGGUUUUGAGGGUUAAACUAAACAUCUCAAGAAGUUUGAAAUUGGAACAGAAAAUUAAAAUUUACAUACUCCUAUGAUUUAAAAGAAAAUUGGAUGAAGAUGCUAUACAGGUGGCAUAUAACACCAAAAAAAUUAGGUCUGAUAAAUAAAAGCAUGAAUACAAAAUGUUGGAAGUGUGGAGAGGAAGAGGGCACAUAUUUCCAUAUGUGGUGGAAAUGCAGGAAAGCUAAAGAAUUCUGGUCAAUAAUCCAUGAAAGCCUGCAAAAGAUAAUAGAAAAAAGAUUUAAUAAACUACCCGAAUUAUACUUACAGUAGAGUCUCACUUAUCCAACACUCGCUUAUCCAACAUUCUGGAUUAUCCAACGCAUUUUUGUAGUCAAUGUUUUCAAUAUAUCAUGAUAUUUUGGUGUAAAAUUCAUAAAUACAGUAAUUACUACAUAGCA